This 622-nucleotide ribosomal RNA is filed under the name uncultured bacterium. RNAcentral describes it as "bacterial SSU rRNA". It matches the Rfam family "Bacterial small subunit ribosomal RNA", at positions 202 to 842 of the family's 1533-position model. The record is from RNAcentral.
CAAAGGAGCAAUCCGCUGAAAGAUGGGCUCGCGUCCGAUUAGGUAGUUGGUGAGGUAACGGCCCACCAAGCCGACGAUCGGUAGCCGGACUGAGAGGUUGGACGGCCACAUUGGGACUGAGACACGGCCCAGACUCCUACGGGAGGCAGCAAUAAGGGAUAUUGGUCAAUGGGGGAAACCCUGAACCAGCAACGCCGCGUGAGGGAAGACGGUUUUCGGAUUGUAAACCUCUGUCCUCUGUGAAGAUGAUGACGGUAGCAGAGGAGGAAGCUCCGGCUAACUACGUGCCAGCAGCCGCGGUAAUACGUAGGGAGCGAGCGUUGUCCGGAUUUACUGGGUGUAAAGGGUGCGUAGGCGGCUGUGCAAGUCAGUAGUGAAAUCCAUGGGCUUAACCCAUGAACUGCUAUUGAAACUGCACAGCUUGAGUGAAGUAGAGGUAGGCGGAAUUCCCGGUGUAGCGGUGAAAUGCGUAGAGAUCGGGAGGAACACCAGUGGCGAAGGCGGCCUACUGGGCUUUAACUGACGCUGAGGCACGAAAGCGUGGGUAGCAAACAGGAUUAGAUACCCUGGUAGUCCACGCUGUAAACGAUGAUUACUAGGUGUGGGGGGACUGAACCCUUCC